UACGUAGGGUGCGAGCGUUAAUCGGAAUUACUGGGCGUAAAGCGUGCGCAGGCGGUCUGUUAAGACAGAUGUGAAAUCCCCGGGCUUAACCUGGGAACUGCAUUUGUGACUGGCAGGCUAGAGUAUGGCAGAGGGGGGUAGAAUUCCACGUGUAGCAGUGAAAUGCGUAGAUAUGCGGAGGAACACCGAUGGCGAAGGCAAUCCCCUGGGUUAGCACUGACGCUCAUACACGAAAGCGUGGGGAGCAAACAGG
Molecule: ribosomal RNA, 253 nt
Filed under: uncultured bacterium
Lineage: Bacteria
Description: partial 16S ribosomal RNA
Rfam family: Bacterial small subunit ribosomal RNA
Source: RNAcentral